Molecule: long non-coding RNA, 2134 nt
Organism: Solanum pennellii
Lineage: Eukaryota; Viridiplantae; Streptophyta; Magnoliopsida; Solanales; Solanaceae
Exons: 3
Source: RefSeq, a predicted model, not a curated record
UUUUCAAUUAGCCAAAAAAGGAACUCAUACAAAAUAAAUUAAAAAACUCUCAAUAUAAACAACUCUAACUCUCAUCUUCUAGGGUUUUUGUAGAAUCCAAGGAAAACCAUGGCAUCAUCUAGGGUUUUCGGAAACUAUUUCAGAACUCUAAUGGCUGAAGCAAAGACCUCCGUCGAAAGACAUCUCCGGCAACCACAACAACCGUGGCUGGAAAAGGUCGUUCUGAAGGCAUACUGAAACCUCAAUCGAUUUCACCAGCUCUGCAAAAAUUUGUUGGUACUUUUGACAUAUCACGUAGUGAUGCAGUUAAGAAAAUCUGGACUCCAUCAAAACAAAUAAUCUUCAAGUUCACUUUCCAUUUCCUCUUUAUGUUACUUAUGAUAGAGAAUAAACCUUUGAAUGUUGAUAGUAUUGUUCUAUGGAGUGGCCCUUUUUGUGGAAAUGUUACAUGGAUGUUGUUAAGGAUUAAAGGUAUGAAAAUGGAAUCUUUGCUAAAAUGAGGGGUUUUGCUUGAGCUAUGUCAAGUAUGGAUACCUUGUCGUAAAAUGCAAUUGUUAGUAUAGAUGUAUAGUAAUUAGCACAUUAGAUGAUAAAAUAGAAAAAAUUAUUUAUGAUGGCUUAUCCUAGCAGAAUCCAAAUGCACAUGUCAGUAGGUGUGACAGUAUGACAGAUUUGAGGUGCUAAAAGUGACUUGUAUAGUUAACAUGGCACGGGAAGAUAUUGCAUUUUUAUUUUAAUUAAACAAUUUCCACAGGGAUGAUUGUUAUUCCUGUGCUUCUGGAAUAUGUAUCAACAAUUAAUAAUAUAGUAAUGACUGCUCUAGAAUGUCAUAUGCAAAUUGUAAUUAACAAUCAGUCUUUUAUCUGGUCCUUUGAGUGACUUUCUUGUUUCUAAGAUAGUUUAAUUGUCUUGAUCAAUCACAUAUUAGAUGGAAAUCUUAACAUUCUUCGAAAGUCUAGUUGUUUCUGCGAGAUUAAGAAGUCUAAAAAAUAAUCUGAAGAUGUGCACCAGAUUAAAGGAUAUUGUCAUUUUUCCUAUCUAGUAGACUGGCUGAUUAUGGAAGUAAUGGGUAUCCAAAGGUCUGUUGACAUUUUGGUAUUGAGGUCUCUGUUAUGAGUUAGGCUACUGAUUUACAUGUGAUAUAAAAUGAUCAAUUCUCUCUCCCUCUCUGUCAUUUUACAAUGUGAAAGAUGUACAUAUACUAAUAUUAAGCUUAUUUUGGUUGGUCAUUAUAACUCUUGGGUAAUUAGAGGCUGGUCUAGAAUAGAAUUAGCACACUACAUGGUAAUGAAUAAACUGGUCGGUAGGAUAUCGUUUUCUGCAAUUUCAACAUGUAUGAUAAUUUGAUAAGUUAGACUUUGCGGCAGUUUAUAUGAAGAAAGUAGGAUGCUCAUGGCUUGGGACCCUGAAAUACUAUGAUGUGUGAUUUGAUUAUCAUGUGCUGAAUAAUGCCUAAGCUUUUAUGCUCAAGCUACGUCAAACACUUUGUAUGACCAGCUAGGGCAUCUUUUAUAAGACAAAGCCGUAAAAAUUGCUGAUAUAUUACACCAGUUGUCAUACAUGUUUAUCCAUUGUUUUGUUCGAAGAAACUUUAAAGAUAAUGGAGACGUAUUUAGUGGACAUGAAGGUUAGAUGUACAAUUUCAAUUUUUCUGACUCCCAUAAUGUCUAUCCAAAAGGAAAAUAUAUUGUUUUUUUUACAGAAGCUGAAAUCAACGACACGCAAAACGAGCUAAAGUCUGGCAUAGACAUUCUUGGGGCUCUCAAUGGGAUAUUUUAAGUAACUUAUGAAAAAUUCCUACCUUCAGACGAUUCUGAUGCUGAUAUAUGUUACAUAUCAAAAAAAAUUGUAUGGCAGCAAUACGCUAGAAAUGGGAUGCAAGGACCAACGAGUUUGUCCAAGAUCAGCAGUGGUGGAUACUAUGGUACAAAACCAUCUGAGAUACCUUAUUGCAUGGCACCAAUAAAUGGCAUUGGAGUGCCACCUAUAGGAGGUGAGGGUACGUAGUCGAUGAGAAGAAGAUAAAAUUGCCUGAAGAGAAUGAAUACUGUGGAGUUGAUGGUAUAUAAAUUAAUAUGGGCGAACAUUUCAAAAUUUCUCCAAUAGAAGGUGAGUGCAUAUAAACUAUUUUGAA